Molecule: long non-coding RNA, 1854 nt
Organism: Phasianus colchicus (ring-necked pheasant)
Lineage: Eukaryota; Metazoa; Chordata; Aves; Galliformes; Phasianidae
Source: Ensembl
AAAAACCCCAAAAAAACCCCAAAAUCUGCUUUUUUCACCCCGUUUUUACACCUUCACCCACCUCAGCGAAGCCCCCAGGAUGGAGGUGGGGGGAAAAAAUCCCCGAUUUUGGGGUUUUUUAGCACUUUUUUAGGGCUAAAAGGGGGNNNNNNNNNNNNNNNNNNNNNNNNNNNNNNNNNNNNNNNNNNNNNNNNNNNACCCCGAGUUUGGCAACAAACUUAAGAGCUAAAAAAUGCCUGAUUUUUAAUCUUUUUAAAUAAAAGAAUGGUUUUGAAUGUUGUUUUCAGUACAAAGUCCCAAAAUUGGGUGUUUUUGUUCUGUAAAAGACUGAAAUUCAACAUUUUUAUCUCAGUUUUCUUCUUCAAAACCCCAAAAUCGGGCAUUUUUGUCCACUAAAAUCCUAAAAUUUGACAUUUUUGUCCCAGUUUUCUCCUUCAAAACCCCAAAAUUGGACAUUUUUGCCCAUAAAAUCCGAAAACUGGACAUUUUCGGCCCAGUUUUCUCCUUCAAAACCCCAAAAAUGGACGUUUUUGUCAUCUAGAAUCCCAAAAUCUGACAUUUUUGGCCCAUUUCUAUCCUUCAAAACCCCACAUUGGGCAUUUUUGCCCAUAAAAUCCCAAAAUCUGACAUUUUUGUCCCCAUUUUCUUCUCUGAAACCCCAAAAUUGGACAUUUUUGCCUCCAAAAGCCCCAAAUUGGACAUUUUUGACCAUAAAAUCCUAAAACUGGACAUUUUUUGUCCCAGUUUUCUCCUCCAAAACCCCAAAAUGGACAUUUUUGUCAUCUAGAAUCCCAAAAUCUGACAUUUUUGGCACAUUUCUAUCCUUCAAAACCCCAAAUUGGGCAUUUUUGCCCAUAAAAUCCCCAAAUCUGACAUUUUUGUCCCCAUUUUCCCCUCCAAAACCCCAAAAUUGGACAUUUUUGCCCAUAAAAUCCAAAAACUGGACAUUUUUUUCCCAUUUUUCUCCUCCAAAACCCCAAAAUUGGACAUUUUUCGCCCAAUUUUCUUCCCCAAAUCCCAAAAAUUGGACAUUUUUGUUCUCUAAAAUCCUAAAAUCUGACAUUUCUGCCCCAAUUUUCCCCUCCAAAACCCCAAAAUUGGACAUUUUUGCCCAUAAAAUCCAAAAACUGGACAUUUUUCUCCCAAUUUUCUCCUUCAAAACUCCAAAAUCUGACAUUUUUGUCCCCAUUUUCCUCUUUAUUCCCCCAUUUUUCCCCCUAAAAACCCCAAAUUCCCCCUUUUUGCCCCCAAUUCCCCCCCUCCCACACUCAAUAAUCCCCAAAAAUCCCAAAAACUACCCCAAAAUUUCCCAAUUUUGCCCUUUUUUACCCCAAUUUCCCCCCCUUCCAUCCCUGAGGUAACCGCUCACCCACCCCCAAUUCUCCCCUUUUUUCCCCCAUUUUUCCCCCUAAAAACCCCAAAUUCCCCCUUUUUUCCCCAAAAUUCCCCCUCCCCCACUCAAUAAUCCCCCAAAAUCCCCAAAAAAGCCCCAAAAAUCCCCGAAUUUUCCCCAAUUCCGCCUUUUUUUUUUACCCCAUUUUCCCGCUUCCCGCCACCGCCGCCAUUUUGCCGCCGCCAUUUUGGCCGCCGGACGCCGUCAAAGGGGGAAAACGCGUCGAUUUUUGGGUGAAAUUCCACCGUUUUUGGUUCUUUUCACCCCCAAAUUCCACCCUAAAUUCAUUUUUUAGACUCUUACGAUUCAAUCCGGCCAUUUUUUUGGGUUGAAAAUCGACGUUUUUGGGGUUUUUUUGAGCAGAAAAAGCCCUGCCCCCCCCCCGCUUCCAUUUACCACAAUGGUGCGGCCGCGCAGCUCAUGAAUAUUAAUGAACCCCGCGGCGCUCAUGAAUAUUAACG